RNAcentral lists this ribosomal RNA (492 nucleotides) under uncultured bacterium. Its description in RNAcentral is "partial 16S ribosomal RNA". It matches the Rfam family "Bacterial small subunit ribosomal RNA", at positions 29 to 507 of the family's 1533-position model. The record is from RNAcentral.
AGUGAACGCUGGCGGUAGGCCUAACACAUGCAAGUCGAACGGCAGCACAGUAAGAGCUUGCUCUUACGGGUGGCGAGUGGCGGACGGGUGAGGAAUACAUCGGAAUCUACUUUUUCGUGGGGGAUAACGUAGGGAAACUUACGCUAAUACCGCAUACGACCUACGGGUGAAAGCAGGGGAUCUUCGGACCUUGCGCGAUUGAAUGAGCCGAUGUCGGAUUAGCUAGUUGGCGGGGUAAAGGCCCACCAAGGCGACGAUCCGUAGCUGGUCUGAGAGGAUGAUCAGCCACACUGGAACUGAGACACGGUCCAGACUCCUACGGGAGGCAGCAGUGGGGAAUAUUGGACAAUGGGCGCAAGCCUGAUCCAGCCAUACCGCGUGGGUGAAGAAGGCCUUCGGGUUGUAAAGCCCUUUUGUUGGGAAAGAAAAGCAGCAGGUUAAUACCCCGCUGUUCUGACGGUACCCAAAGAAUAAGCACCGGCCAGCUUCGUG